Molecule: ribosomal RNA, 496 nt
Filed under: uncultured Glomeromycotina
Lineage: Eukaryota; Fungi; Glomeromycota
Description: partial small subunit ribosomal RNA
Rfam family: Eukaryotic small subunit ribosomal RNA
Source: RNAcentral
CCAAUAGCGUAUAUUAAAGUUGUUGCAGUUAAAAAGCUCGUAGUUGAAUUUCGAUACCGGUCUACUGGUCGUGCUUUUGUACGUACUGGUAUAAUCGGUUUCUCUCUUCUGACGAACUAUAAUGCCAUUAAUUUGGUGUUUUAGGGAAUCAGGACUGUUACUUUGAAAAAAUUAGAGUGUUUAAAGCAGGCUCACGCUUGAAUACAUUAGCAUGGAAUAACGAAAUAGGACGUUUGAUUCUAUUUUGUUGGUUUCUAGGAUCGACGUAAUGAUUAAUAGGGAUAGUUGGGGUCAUUAGUAUUCAAUUGUCAGAGGUGAAAUUCUUGGAUUUAUUGAAGACUAACUACUGCGAAAGCAUUUGCCAAGGAUGUUUUCAUUAAUCAAGAACGAAAGUUAGGGGAUCGAAGACGAUCAGAUACCGUCGUAGUCUUAACCAUAAACUAUGCCGACUAGGGAUCGGAUGAUGUUAAAUUAAUGACUCAUUCGGCACCUUACG